This 855-nucleotide long non-coding RNA is filed under the name Sorghum bicolor (sorghum). Its description in RNAcentral is "long non-coding RNA (SBIC_LNC001781)". The record is from RNAcentral. Lineage: Eukaryota; Viridiplantae; Streptophyta; Magnoliopsida; Poales; Poaceae.
GGUAUCAUAAAUAUUAAUAUUUUAUUAUAUAAAUUUAAUUUAACUUGAGAUGUUUUGACUCUCUAAGAUUCUUUAAAUGACUUAUAAUUUACAAUGAAAGGAGUACUUACGCAUUUAUAUAAAAACUUCUAUAUCCUAUCAUAUCUCUGCACCGCAGCGAACGGUAGGCGUAUCAUAGUGGAUCGAAGUUUAGGUGCUAAACCAAACGCGAGCAUGUUUUGUACCAGUUCCAGCAUAAACAACACUUCUCUUUCUGCUAAAAUGAGAUAAAAGGUCCAAAAUACCCUUUUAUUUCUUAUUUUUACUUUUCUUUUAAAUUCUUUUUUAUUUUAUUCUUACCCUCGCUCUAUCACCGAUGCACGCAGAGCCAAGAUAGGAGUACCGGCCUUCUUUGUCCAAAAAAAAAAAAUCGGUUUUCUCUCUUCCUCCCGUCCCAAUCUGUCUCGCUCAGACGCUCACGACCGCGCAUCUGCUUCCUCGCGCCUCCCCGUGUCGAGGCCGCGGCUCUUGGCGCCUCCACAGUCGUGCGCAUCGCCCUGCCCCCGCAUCUCGCCGCCGCCGCCGCCGCCUCCCCGCAUCGUGGCUCUCGCGGUGGAGCCGAGUCCCGGAUAGCGCGUUUUUCAGGCGAGGUGGAGCGGAGCUGCAAGAUUUUUCGUUACAUCAAUUUUUAGACAUAUCUAUACCUACUAAUAAAUUGUAAAAAUUUCAGUCUGCCUUUCCAACCAAUCUGUCCGGCUGCGUCCCGUCUAUCUCUUGUCCGGCCCGUGGCAAGCUGAAAAAUAAAUAAAAAUUUUUCUAUAGUUCUUUCUGUACAUAGCUACAAAACUGUUCGCCAUAUGCAAAUGCGUCCGUAGC